AGCGUAGGCGGCGAUGCAAGUCCGAUGUGAAAGCCCGGGGCUCAACCCCGGGACUGCAUUAGAAACUGUGUUGCUAGAGUGCAGGAGAGGUAAGUGGAAUUCCUAGUGUAGCGGUGAAAUGCGUAGAUAUUAGGAGGAACACCAGUGGCGAAGGCGGCUUACUGGACUGAAACUGACGCUGAGGUGCGAAAGCGUGGGUAGCAAACA
This 207-nucleotide ribosomal RNA is filed under the name uncultured bacterium. Its description in RNAcentral is "partial 16S ribosomal RNA". It matches the Rfam family "Bacterial small subunit ribosomal RNA", at positions 568 to 774 of the family's 1533-position model. The record is from RNAcentral.